Molecule: long non-coding RNA, 219 nt
Organism: Chiroxiphia lanceolata (lance-tailed manakin)
Lineage: Eukaryota; Metazoa; Chordata; Aves; Passeriformes; Pipridae
Exons: 3
Source: RefSeq, a predicted model, not a curated record
CCUUCCCCCCAACCCCAACAGGUUUGCAGUGCAGACCGUUAAAGCCCUGCUGCGCCAGCUGCUGGAUGAGGACGUGUUGAUGGUGAUCGAUCACAAGUGUGUCUGGGACAUGCUCCUCAAGGCUGACAGCCACCACUAUGCAGUGGGUCUGCUGGCCAGGGAGCUGUGCCGUGUCUCCCACUCCUUCUGCCGCAGCAUCACCGUCAGCCUGCUCCCGCG